This 253-nucleotide ribosomal RNA is filed under the name uncultured prokaryote. RNAcentral describes it as "partial 16S ribosomal RNA". It matches the Rfam family "Bacterial small subunit ribosomal RNA", at positions 525 to 777 of the family's 1533-position model. The record is from RNAcentral.
ACGUAGGGACCAAGCGUUGUUCGGAUUUACUGGGCGUAAAGGGCGCGUAGGCGGCAAUUCAAGUCAGCUGUGAAAUCUCCGGGCUUAACUCGGAACGGUCAGCUGAUACUGCUUUGCUAGAGUACAGAAGGGGCAAUCGGAAUUCUUGGUGUAGCGGUGAAAUGCGUAGAUAUCGGGAGGAACACCAGUAGCGAAGGCGGCACUCUGGGCCGGUACUGACGCUGAGGAGCGAAAGCGUGGGGAGCAAACAGGA